This 302-nucleotide ribosomal RNA is filed under the name uncultured bacterium. Its description in RNAcentral is "partial 16S ribosomal RNA". It matches the Rfam family "Bacterial small subunit ribosomal RNA", at positions 508 to 807 of the family's 1533-position model. The record is from RNAcentral.
GCAGCAGCCGCGGUAAUACGUAGGGUGCGAGCGUUAAUCGGAAUUACUGGGCGUAAAGCGUGCGCAGGCGGUUAUAUAAGACAGAUGUGAAAUCCCCGGGCUCAACCUGGGACCUGCAUUUGUGACUGUAUAGCUAGAGUACGGUAGAGGGGGAUGGAAUUCCGCGUGUAGCAGUGAAAUGCGUAGAUAUGCGGAGGAACACCGAUGGCGAAGGCAAUCCCCUGGACCUGUACUGACGCUCAUGCACGAAAGCGUGGGGAGCAAACAGGAUUAGAUACCCCUGUAGUCCCUGUCUCUUAUAC